CACAAGCGGUGGAUGAUGUGGUUAAUUCGAUGCAACGCGAAAACCUUACCACCUUUGACAUGGCAGGAAUCCCGAAGAGAUUUGGAGUGCUCGAAAGAGAACCUGCACACAGGUGCUGCAUGGCUGUCGUCAGCUCGUGUCGUGAGAUGUUGGGUUAAGUCCCGCAACGAGCGCAACCCUUGCCAUUAGUUGCUACGAAAGGGCACUCUAAUGGGACUGCCGGUGACAAACCGGAGGAAGGUGGGGAUGACGUCAAGUCCUCAUGGCCCUUAUAGGUGGGGCUACACACGUCAUACAAUGGCCGGUACAGAGGGUAGCCAACCCGCGAGGGGGAGCCAAUCCCACAAAGCCGGUCGUAGUCCGGAUCGCAGUCUGCAACUCGACUGCGUGAAGUCGGAAUCGCUAGUAAUCGCGGAUCAGCAUGUCGCGGUGAAUACGUUCCCGGGUCUU
Molecule: ribosomal RNA, 450 nt
Filed under: uncultured Allobrachymonas sp.
Lineage: Bacteria; Pseudomonadati; Pseudomonadota; Betaproteobacteria; Burkholderiales; Comamonadaceae
Description: bacterial SSU rRNA
Rfam family: Bacterial small subunit ribosomal RNA
Source: RNAcentral